AACGAACGCUGGCGGCAUGCCUAACACAUGCAAGUCGAACGACACCUUCGGGUCUAGUGGCGCACGGGUGCGUAACGCGUGGGAACCUUCCCUUAGGUUCGGAAUAACUCCCCGAAAGGGGUGCUAAUACCGGAUAAUGUCUUCGGACCAAAGAUUUAUCGCCUUUGGAUGGGCCCGCGUUGGAUUAGCUAGUUGGUAGGGUAAAAGCCUAUCAAGGCGACGAUCCAUAGCUGGUAUGAGAGGAUGAUCAGCCACACUGGGGCUGAGACACGGCCCAGACUACUACGGGAGGCAGGAGUGGGGAAUAUUGGACAAUGGGCGAAAGCAUGAUCCAGCAAUGCCGCGUGAGUGAUGAAGGCCUUAGGGUUGUAAAGCUCUUUUACCCGGGAUGAUAAUGACAGUACCGGGAGAAUAAGCUCCGGCUAACUCCGUG
Molecule: ribosomal RNA, 433 nt
Filed under: uncultured bacterium
Lineage: Bacteria
Description: partial 16S ribosomal RNA
Rfam family: Bacterial small subunit ribosomal RNA
Source: RNAcentral